AGGGGGACCCCCCCCCGCCCCCAGCCCCAGCCGCUGCAGGCGGGUGAGUGAAGGGCAUCGUGGGGCUGGGCAGGGCUGGGGGCUGCGAGCCCGCCCCGCUCUGCUGCAGGCUCCCCCCCGCCCGGCAAGCUGCAGGCGGCGGCCGCCGCGAGAUCAGCUCCCAGCCCCAGCGCCAGCCGCUGCAGGCGGGUGAGUGAAGGGCAUCGUGGGGCUGGGCAGGGCUGGGGGCUGCGAGCCCGCCCCGCUCUGCUGCAGGCUCCCCCCUGCCUGGCAAGCUGCAGGCGGCUGCCAAGGCGCUUGGUGGCCCUGCGGUGCCAGCAUGCCUUGGCCUGCUCUCUGCUUUGCAGCCGGCCACGCACAGCGUCCCCCCGGCAAGGAGGGCACCAGAGGCCACCCACCUCCUGCUCUGGGCCGCAGCCUGCCACAGGCAGCUCAGCCCCACUUCACUCUGCUCCACCAGCCCACCCCAGCUGGCAGCCACCUCCCAGCCCUGGCGAGCACAGGGCAGCCGGGCUCUCGGUGCCCCCCGCCCGCCCCCGACCACGGCCUCGCUGCCUCCGCCCAGCCGGCAACGCGCCUGCACGCAGGGCACAGCGCUGCCGCCUGCCUCUCCUGCCUCCUACAGCUCUCCCUGCUCGCUCUUUCUCAGGCCAAGCUGCUCCUGCCCCCAGCUGCUUGCCCGUGCACAGAGAGGAGCAGGAAGCCCUCGCGUGCAUCCAGGCCUUUCUCACGGGCCCAACAAGGGAAGAAGCCCACAAGAUGAAGUUUUUGGCCUCUCUCUGCACUCUCAGCCGCUUGGCCGGCGCCCAGAGCCGUGGCCAAGGCAGCCCUGCUGGCAGAGCCGCCCAGGCUCGCAGCGGGCCUGGGGCCACGGCCACGGCCAUGCUCUCCAAGGCCAGCACUUUGAGGAAGGUGCUCUGGGAGCUGCUCAGCAUGCUGGAGGAGCGGCCACUGCGCAAACCAUUUCUCACCACCAGGGACAGCACUCGCGUCCUUGCCCUGGCCGUGAGUCACCACAGGAGACCUUGCCUGCCCUCAGCACUGGGCUCACCUGUCGGGGGCAAGCGGCAGGUUGCACGCUUCCCCCCGGGCUCCGGCAGGCCGACGGGGCUGUCUCUGCAGGGAGAGCCCACUCUCGCUCUUUUCUGUAGGCAACCAGGGCGCUCUGUGAGCUCCUUCAGCAGUGCAGCCGCUCGCAGGAGGUGAAGGCCUUUUUCUCCCGCCUCUGCCUGGCCCUGCUCUUCCAGAUUGCCUUCACGGCAGAGCUCACGCCGCAAGACCUUGCUGUCUUCCGGAGGCAAUGCCACCGAUGGGACCCGUGCACUCCCACCAGCCCUGUCAGGUGCCCCCUCCCGCUUCCUCCAUCCCUCGCAUGCACCUGGAGCCAGGGCCGGGCUCCCAGUGUGAGCUAGCCUUUGCUCUGCGCACAGCUCUGCAGUGCAGACCCUGGAGUCUCUUUUCUGCUGCGCUGGCUACGAGCAUCAAGCCCUGCUCAUCAGGCAGCAGGGUGGCUGGCACAUGCUUCUCAGCGCUGAGGCCCUGCACUUGGGAGUCAUUGUAGUGGCCAGGUGAGAGCCCUCUUAGGCCAGCUCUGUGCCGCACAGUCCCCUCGCUGUGGGAUGGCAGGGGGGCCCCAGCUCUGCAGGGCAGGGGCUGCAGCCUCAGCACCUGGGAGGAGGGCUUGCACAGCUGAGGGGGCAAGGGGAGCUGCCUGCUCUUGUUCCUGCCCACUUGUGAGAGCUGCUGGAGCAGGAGCUGGUGUUAGCAAGGGUGCGAGAGGGUGCUUGGCAGGACCGGUCACCUCCCAGGGGCCUGCAGUCCCCUGCCUUUGGGACGGCGCUCAGGCCACACAGAUGGCCAUGGCUCUGUGGGCACGCAGUGCCACCAGAGAGAGGGCUCCAGGAACGGGGCAAGAUGCACACGGGCACGUCGGAGGAGCCCAUGGGGACCAGCCUGCCACGUGGGCAGGAAAUGGGCCGUGUCGCUAGGCCGUGACUUUCUGCUCUGGGCGUCUUUCUGCUCUGCCGGCAAAAGGCGCCGGAAGAUGCUGCCCUGGGUGGGCAGUGGUGGGCUGCAGUGGGGAAAGAUGGCCAGUGUGUGAGCAACUGGCAGGGGCUGUGCUAGAGGAAUGCCAAGGCGGCCUUAGCCCGCGUGUCCUGGCCUCUAGGUCAGGGGCUAGACUUAGCAAUGCAAUGGCCGACGAGGU
Molecule: long non-coding RNA, 2206 nt
Filed under: Struthio camelus australis
Lineage: Eukaryota; Metazoa; Chordata; Aves; Struthioniformes; Struthionidae
Description: lncRNA (ENSSCUG00000018199.1)
Source: RNAcentral